GGAGAUAUAACUCAGUUGGUAGAGUGCUUGCCUUGCAUGCACAAGGCCUUGGGUUCAAUCCUCAGUACCACCC
RNAcentral lists this transfer RNA (73 nucleotides) under Ictidomys tridecemlineatus (thirteen-lined ground squirrel). Its description in RNAcentral is "Spermophilus tridecemlineatus (thirteen-lined ground squirrel) tRNA". It matches the Rfam family "tRNA". Rfam says of the family: Transfer RNA (tRNA) molecules are approximately 80 nucleotides in length. Their secondary structure includes four short double-helical elements and three loops (D, anti-codon, and T loops). Further hydrogen bonds mediate the characteristic L-shaped molecular structure. tRNAs have two regions of fundamental functional importance: the anti-codon, which is responsible for specific mRNA codon recognition, and the 3' end, to which the tRNAs corresponding amino acid is attached (by aminoacyl-tRNA synthetases). tRNAs cope with the degeneracy of the genetic code in two manners: having more than one tRNA (with a specific anti-codon) for a particular amino acid; and 'wobble' base-pairing, i.e. permitting non-standard base-pairing at the 3rd anti-codon position. The record is from Rfam by way of RNAcentral. Lineage: Eukaryota; Metazoa; Chordata; Mammalia; Rodentia; Sciuridae.